Long non-coding RNA from Triticum dicoccoides, 5428 nucleotides. RefSeq lists it as uncharacterized. The record is from RefSeq and is a predicted model, not a curated record. NCBI's taxonomy places the organism in Eukaryota, Viridiplantae, Streptophyta, Magnoliopsida, Poales, Poaceae. The transcript has 6 exons.
CUCGUUCGCCGCCGCUCGCCCCUGCCGCUCCAUCCCUUCGCCGCCUAACCCUUGCAUCCCCCAACCCUCGACUACCUGUCCCAACUCUCCUCCCUGCGCCGCCGUGGGUCUCGGCCUCCCUCCUCCCUGCGCCGCCGCGGGUCUCGGCCUCCCUCCUCCCUUCGUCCAGGCAAAGAGAGGGCUGGCCUUGGCGCCUUGCCACUUUGAUGGCAAUCUGCCUUAUGAUCCGCCGCCGAUCCCGAUCCGCCGCCGAUCCCGAUCUCGCAUCGGAGGAUUUGAUUGACUUCUCCUCUCCUCUCUUCCACCUCUCUUCGUCGUCGGAUCCCCGCGACACAUGCCCAGAUACGUCCGCAAACCGCCGGCGACGAGGUGUAUGGUGCCGACAUGGCCGUGCUCGAGCGCCUCCAGGACCCCGCAGAGGAGAAUCAAGGCGUGGGGCCUCCUGGACUCCGUCCUUCGCCGCUUUGUCGACGACGUCCCUGCCGCCGGGCAGGAAGGUACUCGAUGACGUACUCGAUGCCCACCUGCAAGGUCAGCCCCCCAUCCUCCCGGUCCUUCCCAGCAAAUAGAUCUGGUAAAAUUUGAAUAAUGAUCUGGACUUCAACGAUUAAUUAAUCUCCUGGUCUCUAAUGGGAACUUUUUUGUUACUGAACUUCGUAGUUGGUUUGCAUAAAAUCUGAAGUUUGUCUAACAUAUUUUACUUGAACACAGUUCGCUUCAGAAUUCUAUUUUAUGUGAGCAUUACUUUCUUGGGGUAUCUGAUUUACUUGGAGGAGUAUUUAAUUACACGUAUGUGUAGUACAAGUUGUUAUUUCGCAAUAAUUUUGAUGGCCUCUAAGCAUCAUUGUUCAUGUCUAUUAUUAUUUAUGAAAGCUACAUGUCUUGGAGGGAAGUUGCGACUUGAGGGAGUGAGCUCCCAUUCUCUCAAUUUCUUGGCAUGGCCAUGCUUGCAGUACUGAUAAGGCAUGCUUCAAAAAUGGAGGGAGGACCUGAGCUGCCGCCUUGGUUCCUGUCCGCACCAGCCGCCACAGUAUGUAAUCAGGCCUCCACUAUCGUCCUCUGAAUUUUGGAUUACAUGCAUCUACAAGAGCGUGAGAGUUUGAGAGGGUAGCACAGUGCUACAUAGAAGUUAAUUUUUCUCCAUGAAGUUGAUAUGAUGCGAAGCUGCUGCCAGAUUGAAGGUUAAUUGAGUUCUCAUCUCCAAAAUGUUUGCAUUGUAAGUAUCCUCUUUGAUUCAGCGGUUCCAUGAUGCUACAGUUCACUUUGUUUUUCACCUCUUGAUGCUGCUAUACACAGAAGGUGUUUGCUAAUUUGCACAUUAAAAUUUUUAAGUUUAUCUGCACAUAUUGAUAUUAGCUUGAAUUUUGAACAAGAAAUAGUUUCUUAAUACGUACUUUUGAAUUUUAUGCACUUGUAUGUACACUGCUACUAACGGUGCUCUUGAUCAUGUCAUACACGAGUACUAAUGGUGCAUGCCUUAAUAUUGGAAUGGAAUGAAUACCAGCUUAUGUAGAGAAGCGAGGCCUUUUCGUAUUUGAGGAAGAAUGUCAUGCAACCAUUCAAGAAGAAUAGGAUGGGUAUUCCAGUAAUCCUAUGGAUUAGUCUCUAUAGUUGUUGGCGGCCUAUAAAGCAGAGGUAUCUAUGACUAAAUAAAUAAAAAUUGAUGACUUACUAUUUUACAAUAUUAGUUUCGACUAUAGUGUUGCUGACUAAAUCAUGCUACCUCUCAUUAUUGCGGCGUCUCGCUAGCAGGGUAUUCCCAUUUAGAUUAUGUUUGCCCUUUCGAUCACCGGCGCGGCUGUAGCAGUCUAUGUAGGCGUCGGCGGCAGUAGGGGGGAGGGGACAUCGGAGCCGUCGGUGAUAUCGGAGGAAUCAAUCUAGCCGACCAUCCUUUGAAUGACACAGUUUUGCUACCUCCCACUGAUAACCUUUAGGAGCUAUGGAGAGGAGGGUUAGGAGGGAAGCGAGCCAGCGGCGUGAAGAGAAAAUGUUAGGGUCACAAUAGCAAACGAGUUCAUCUUGCCUGGGUUGCGCUGAUAAGAAAGAAGAUAGAGCUUCAGGUGAGGCAUGUCGUCCCUAGGAAUUUGUUGGUAUCGAGGAUUGUUCCAGGAAGCACUUCUGAUGACAACAUGAUGUUGGGCCUCGGGGACAUGGUAAGCUACUUAUGUCACAAUUUUCAUCCAUUCAGACUUGUUUUUGUGAUUCUUGUACUACCACUGAUCCAUAUAUGAUCUCUUAUACUCAUCAUUUAAUCCUGCUUAAAUUAUAGUAUUAAAGGUGGUUGUACUUUAAAAGGUCUCAAACUUGUGCAGGUAACCAACAGAAACAUAUUGAAGCACAUUGUUGUCAUCAUCCACUUAGUGCCCGUAGGGUCACGCUCAGCAGCAACGGUGCACGGCGAUGGGAAAGACGCAGGGGUGGCGGGAUCGUCACCAGUGGGGCCGUCGGGGAGAAGAUGGAGGCAGAUAAGAAAGGAACAGGCUCGGUUGGGUGUGAAAAGGAGAAUGAGAGAGAUAGCGAUGCCGAUGAUGUGGUGCUGCACCACUGCUCUCCUACUGCUAGCUGAAUUUUGGUAUUGUUGCUGCUAUCUGAAUUUCGCACACACACGGCGAGGUGUUUGAUGCUGGCCGACGUCGCGCUUGUCAUGAGGGGGGGGGGGGUCGUCGUUGGGAAUCUUCUGUCAGAGGUGCUGCCCUGCGAAGUAAGAGGCAUCCCUCUCCAUGUGCUCGACGCCGCCACCUGCAUAGGGCACACUCCGACCAUGCAACCGCCAAGGUCGCCGACCACAUCGUGCACGUCCACGCCAUCGACCUCGGCGGACGGUGCCGCAAUGUUCGUCAGUAUGUCCUGUUGGUCGAGGAGCGCGAAGGAAGUGGGCUGAGGGAAGUGGGGGCGGCGGCAGAAGCAGCAUGGGUGUCCUACGGUGAGCGCUUUGAGGGAUUCUGCAGAGCAGUUCUCCCCGGAGGCCUGAUGCAUCCAACCGUACAAGGAAACUUGAAAACUACACCACAACUCUUAGGCUUGCCAAAAUAUGAGGAUUAUCACUCAGUCAUGAGCGAAACUGGAUGUACCCGGUAAGGAUGGAGGCGAGAUGGGGCCAUAGAGCCCCCUUUUGCGCAGGAGGGAGUAUGUCUGAGCCGAAGGCAACAAUUGUGGCCGCUUCCAGAGCCGAAGCCACCUGCGGAGUCAAUGUCAUGGUCGCCCCAGAGCGGAAUCCAUCGCCUAGGCCACAAGAGUAGGAGCUGCUGUCGCGGAGGUCAUCUCUGAACCUAUACUGAACUUUCUAUGGAUGGAGGUCAAGACCAAGCUUUAGGCAGGAAAAUGGGACAAUCUUCAGUAAGCUACAAUGUUCAUGUCUUCUUAUAUCAUUUGACUGAUGUGUUCUUGUAUCAUUCUUCUACUUUCGGAGCUAUUACUGCGAUCAUUUUAACCUCAUGUCUUCUUAUAUCAUUUGACCUUAUCUAGAUAUUAGUGGUUCUUAAUCCAGCAAGGUCUUGAAUAUUUUUCGCUUUGUCCAUUCAAAAUUUUGUUCUUCUAGCAACGUUCAUGGUUUAAGCUUUGAUUCGAAAAACAACUUUCAAUUUUAUAGGAGACACAAAGAGCAACAACAAGCCGCUGUAGAUAUUAUGUAGUAGCAACAUUAAUGAUCUGCUAAUGUUAUAUUUUCUUCUUCUUUCCUUAAUAUCUACAUGACCAACGUGUAUUUUUAAUGAUCAAACAUGCACAUGUCACAUUAAGAGGUUGAGAGUAGCUCAAAAGAUAUGCAUACAUCCUCUACCUUUUACCUAAUGAAAUAUUUCUAAAGCCAUAGUAGAUGUCAGGUGUAAAUUCCAUGAAGAACUGUUGGUUUUUGUAAUUAUUUCGUGAAACUUUCAUUGUAGGGUUCUAGGUUUGGUGAAUAAGCAGGGUUGUCUUCUUUCUUUAGUAUCUGCAUGAUCAAGUCGGUCUGUACUUUUAAUGAUCAUACCUGCACAUGUCACAUUAAGAUUGAAUAUAUUGUGACUUUUCUAACCAUUUCUUGUUAAUUGCUUGAGGAAAAACUAACAGGAAUUUUUUUCUUAGAAAUCCCAAGGAAGUAAUUGUUCUCACUGUUUUGGUAAAAUAACAUAUAUUUUUGUUGUAUGUAUACUUAAUUUCAGGAGAUGUAGAUUUUCUUGUUAUCUUAUAUAUGUUCCUUUUCUUUUUAUUUCUUGUGAAAAAUGAGUUCAACAAGGGCUCCUCAUUCUAGCCUCCUGGGGUUGAAAUGAUUACUCCUUUAAUUGAUUUGAAGAUUGUUAAUUUUUUAUAUUUGGAAACGCUUGGAAGCUUUCCUUUGUUUUGGCGUUAUGAAGAUCUUAUGCUGCAGGGAGAUUUCACCGAUGCCACAAAGAUGCUGCUGCAUCGAACGCAUAGGAUAAGAUGAUAUUAAGAUGCCAAAUAGCAGGUUGCUUCAAACCAGGGGAACUGACUGGUUCAUAGAUGGUAGAACGUUCAAUCUUCGACGAUGCUCAGGGAGCAAACAAGGGGAAUUAGGGAAAAGUAUAUUUUUCGUCCCUGGACUCGCUCAAAAGUAUAGAAACGAUCCUUCAACUUUAAAACCGGCAAAUGUUAGUCCCUCAACUUCUCAAACCGGAUUAUUUUAGUCCCUUGACUCAACAAAAGCUGUUUUCAUGCUUACUUGGCAUGGUUUUGACCAGUCAGCACCCACGUGGGAAUCUUCUUCUUUUCCAUUUUAACUCGGCUGGGCAUUUCGUCGAGCAGUUGGCGCCACCAGGCAACAAGAGGAAGAGGUAGGCAUGGAGCUUGCGUGGCUAUCGGCGGCGCACGCAAAGGGUGCAGGAGGCCAGGGAGCUGCGCUACAGUUAGUUUUCUGGGACGAGCGGGGCUGUCGCGGCUAGCAGCACUGAGGCACGCGGCGGCUUGGCCUUCACGGCGAACUCGUAACACAGUCAGAACUAACUGAUGCUCGUGUUGCCGCCUCGUGCUCAUGGUAUGCCUCUGCAAUUGUCGGCGACCGCGCCGUUGAUGUCCCCGCGUCAUCCAGUUCUCGUUCAAAUCCAUCACUUGCGUGAUGUGGGUCGUGGACAUGGCGUGGACAACGGCGCGACGGCGGGGCGCACGCUUGUCGCCGCUCCAGCGCCGUCAGCCGCACCCGCUUCGGCGGCUCGCCCGGUUUGCCGUUGUUGCUCGGCCACACAUGGGCGAUGACUGGUGAAACCAUGCAAGUCAGCGUGAAAACCACUUUUAUUAAAUCAAAGGACUAGAGUUAUCCGGUUUAAAGAAUUGAGGGACUAAGUUUUGCUGGUUUUGAAGUUAAGGGACCGUUUCUAUACCUUCGAGAGAGUUUAGGGAUGAAAAAUAUACUUUUCCCUACUUGCUAUGAUGUUCGAAUUUGACUGUUCUGUCGUAAUCACCAAUCACCACAGUUAACACACUACACAUGAUUCUU